CAGGACAGGGGGGCGGUCGCGCCCGGGAGCCGAACCUCCCGGGUGAGGAAAGUCCGGGCACCAUAGGGCAGGGUGCCAGCUAACGGCUGGGCGGGGUAACCCGACGGAAAGUGCCACAGAGAAAAGACCGCCAGCGGCCAGGCAAGGCCUGGUGCGGGCAAGGGUGAAACGGUGGGGUAAGAGCCCACCGCGCUUCCUGGAAACAGGGGCGGCACGGCAAACCCCACCCGGUGCAAGGCCCAAUAGAGGGGAAGGGCUUGCCCGGCCCGCCAUAACCCCUGGGAUGGGCCGCUUGAGUGUCACGCGUCACGCUUUGAGGUCAAUUUGCGUCACUUUACAGGUCAAUUUGACUGAGUGCAGUCAUGUUUG
Molecule: RNase P RNA, 369 nt
Filed under: Thermus tengchongensis
Lineage: Bacteria; Thermotogati; Deinococcota; Deinococci; Thermales; Thermaceae
Description: RNase P RNA component class A
Rfam family: Bacterial RNase P class A
About the family: Ribonuclease P (RNase P) is a ubiquitous endoribonuclease, found in archaea, bacteria and eukarya as well as chloroplasts and mitochondria. Its best characterised activity is the generation of mature 5'-ends of tRNAs by cleaving the 5'-leader elements of precursor-tRNAs. Cellular RNase Ps are ribonucleoproteins.
Source: RNAcentral